UCUGGGGAAAAAACAUGAUGAAAGAAAUCUGGUUAAUUAAUUUGCCUAGAAAACUUGCAAGUUCUAUGAUCUCAUCAUCACUGUUAACAAACUGGCUGACAUUAUUUUCGUUCUCAUUGCUAGUGUAUCAGUGUCUUGUCGUCAGCUAAUGCAUUAGCAGUGUGUGCCAGAUGACAUGUUAGCCAAAGUUAAUUGAGCAAUGCCUCAAUGGGAUCAGAUUGGUUUCUUUACCACAAGUCUAAGUAAUACCUUUAUAUCCGAUCUGAGGUUGAUCUGACUGGUCUGUUGUGGUUAAUCAUCUCUUGUGAAGAUGGCAAUAGAAGAAAACACCAUCAGCUUGAUGACAGGCUUGAUGAAAGCUUGCAAUGUUAUCCACUGAUGCAACUUGUCAACUGUGGAUGGGGUAAAAAAAAAAAGGUGCUAAAAAUUAAUGUCUGGAAAGCAAUGUCGUUUUUUGUAAUCAGAAAUUUGUUACAGAUUUCUAAGUCCAGAAAUGAAUAAAUUUGCAAACAGUGUAUGAUAUAUCUAUAUAAAUGAAAAAUGGAUGUAGAUUAUUAUUUUAAGUUUCAGCUAAUUGUUACAGAGCUAAUUGUUGGGACCAUGUCAAUUAAUUGAUGUUUUGGUUUUCAUUUUAAUAACAAGGGCUGAGCUCCAAAAGGAAGGAGACAAGGCAAUCCAAUUCACAUUUUCUACAUUUAAACUGCAUCAUGUACAGAACAGUACCUUGUUGACUGUCAUAACCAUGAUUUUGUCCAUCUUGAGUGCUCUGCAUGGGAUUUAGAAUCCAGCCAAUAAAGUUGUUGAUCUGACUCAAAGCUGCUUGUUCAAUGGGUGACAUGACUCACAACUCAGUUAAGCCUUCAGCCUGCUUGUCCAACAUGAUUGAUCAGCUCAAUAACUGUGGUGUAGAUUCCUUGUCUUUUCUCUGGUUGCCUGUCCGAUGUGACUGACUGCACAGUGUUUACUGUAUUCUUUUUGGAUCAUGUUUACUGUAGGUAGUGUUCAUCAACACUACCGAUUGAUAUAUCGACCAACAGUCUGUUGAUAGCUGAUCCAAGUAUUGAACGAGUGUUGAGCAAUACCCAGCCAAUAUAUCGGCUGACAGUUGGUUGAGUGUCAGUUGAGUAUCGGUCGAGUGUUGGUUGGGCAUCAGUCGAGUAUCGGUCAAGUAAUGGCUGACUUAUUGACCAAAUACUCAACCAAUACUUGACAAACAUUUGACCAAUACUUGACUGACAUUCGACUGAUACUUGACGGAUACUCAAGCAACACUCAACCAACUGUUGGUCGAUAUAUUGGUUCAUAGUGUCAGUCAAUACCACCUACAGUAAACAUGAUCCUUCUUUUCUAUACCAUGCUGUAGAAAAUACAGCCAAACAGGAUACAGGAAAGUCCAGCCAUUGUAUAUUCAAUGGUAUUACACCCAACCUUCCCCUUGUGCGCUGCGCAUAUGUCAUAUUGAUUGUUUUGGCCUCUGUAUUUUCUAGGGCAUGGUAUAAAAUAGUUGUGCAAGGUUUUGAGUGGUAGACCAUGGAAUAUCCCACUUAUUGUCACUUGUGUUUUCUUGGUGUACACACUUGUCUAAAGGCUUAUGUGUAUUCCAAGAAAAAACGGGUGACUCGCGUGAUAUUCCAUGGUAUACAACUCACAAGUGUUAGUACUCAUACUACCAGCUGAUGUUUCUGCUACACAGAGGCACUGAGAGACUAGAACAUGCAAACUUUCUAGAACAUGUAGUAGUUUACUUUUUGAUGACAUGUGAUGCAAAUAUUAAAUAACUUUCUCAUGCAAAAUGCUGAUUGGUCAUGGCCUUCACAGAGUCUCACAAAAGCCUGAAUUUUACAUGCCUUGUUCCUGUUUGUUAAAAAGAAUUAGGGUUAGGUCCCCUUUAUGUUUUCCCGUUGUCCCAAAUGGUUUUUUAACUUAAGUCUUCCAGUUUCUCAAGGGAAAGAAAACAAUCCUACCAAGCACUCACACUUAGGUCAUUGGUUUCAAUCCUAUCAAAGUCAGAAUUUUAAAGGCGUGACCUCCUUUCCACUAGGAAGUUAUAAAUAAAUAAUUUAAUUACGUAAGGUGCAAAUACUUACACUUUUCUGAAAUAUCUUGAGAUGUUCCAAAGCAGAUAGUUGCCAGUGUCAGCGGGGAUACUCAGAAAUGGCAGACGGUGAUGUACAUGUACUUCCUUGUUGUGCUCCUUAUUGCAUCCAUCACUGGUGUCACAGGUAGACAUUUAAGUAAGGCAGUGCAUGUAAAAGUUCUCCCUGUAGGUAUCAUCUACAUGGUGCUUCCUUAUAGGUACAUCUUGGAUUUGCAGGUUAAUUGCAGAUGUUGACUGUUCUUUAAUUGCAUCCAUUAGCUGACGAAAAGGGAUGCACCUUGACCCACAGCAAAUCCAUGUUCAUCUGAAUGUAAAACCUAAGAGGUCUGCAUUUUGAGUAGGUUUUAACUGCUGGACAGAUUCAACUAGGCCAUAUUCAUGUGCACUAAAGGCAUCCGUGGUUGAUUGUCGAUCUAUGCUUUUGAUUGACAUCUCGAUCGAUACUCGAUCAACAUCCCAAUUGGUACUCGGUCAACACUCUAUCAACUGACUCAUAUCAAUCAAUUGAAAGUUAGUCGACUCUUGACUGACUGUUGACAGAGAUGUCGAUGUUGUGUCAAUCGAGUGUCAACCGAGGGUCGAUCGAGGGUAUCAAUUGAGGAUAUCAAUCAACACUCCAAGGUGGAUGCCUUUAGUGCACAUGAUCUGCUCCUUCUGGCUUCUGUACGACAGCUUGGUUAAGGUUGUUUAAUAUCCUGUCACAUUGGUCCAGUGGUUAGGAUGGUUUGAGCUUCGAAGUCUAUGAUUUGUACCAGCAUUGCUCGCAGAGGUCUGCUAGCUGAAGUCUGCACAGCUCUCCAACUGUUCUCAAGUGUCAUUCAAGGUUAAUGUGAGCUACCUGUAAAUACUAUAAAACACUCAAAUGAUAAUGUAAAUGUGUGUAAUUAAUUGAAAUUGGUGUGUUAUUUUACUUUCUUAACAGUCAAUCAUGUUUGUAUUUUCUGUACACUGUUGGGUUUUUUUCUGUGUUAUUUUUCCUCCAUACCAGACAAUUAACUGAUCACAAUUGCAUCAUUUUUAUACUGGUAAAAAAUGGGUGACUGCAUUAAUUUUGACUCCCACAACAGACAAUGCACUUAGCCUACUUGCAUUAUUUUUAAAAGGGUGUAUAAUUUUCCCUUCUCAGCAGGCAAUUAACCCUUUUUUGAAUUUUUUUAACUACUAGGUUGAUAAGAUGCCCUCUGUUUUGUUGUACUACACCUGUUUGGUCACAAUGGAUCUUUCCUGUGAUGCUGAUCAAAGUACAAGCAAGGCUUGUGGAGGUACGCUGUAGUCUUCAUGGCUGAUUAACUAUUGUGGUAAACUGUUCAAGGUUAGUGUUUGAAAUACCUCUGAUUAUCAAAUCCCUCAUAAUGCAAUCUUUCUAUCAAUUGACUCACAGUGCAUAGGUUUAUGCACUACUGAAAAACAUUUUUUGAUCCUCCAUAGACAUUUGAUUUAUGUUUCAAUCAUAAUACUCUACUGAAAAGUUAAGUUGUUUUUUUCCUGUUUUCAGAGACAAUUGAACCACAUCAGCCCGAUUUAUGCACUGCUGAAAAAUGAUCAGAGGAUCUGUUUCUUCAUGCCUGGAUUUGUCUGACAUUAAAAUUUCACCUGAAAAUGAGAUUGAUGAGUCAGGGAUUUGGAACACACUAGUAAGCUGCAAGGAAGAGGAAGCUGCAAGUUGAGUAUAAAGCAGAGAGUCACGGAGGAAAUGAGUCAGAGGAACAGGUCUCAACAAGUCUACUACAGCAUGGUAACUAGAGGCAAUUCUUGCAACUCCAGUUUUAUGCAGCAUCAUGAUGCAAAGCAUCAGCACAUCUGUAAAUUGAUAAAACCCAAGUGUUUUGUUUGGUCACCCACUUUCCUCUUUGCUUCGACACGCUGACACAGCUCCAUUGCCACAUUGCAGUUCUGGCUCCUCUUCAAUGUGAGCAAAUGUCCAGUCCAGUUCCAUCUUCCCCUUUGACCUCAUGACUGAUCUUUUCAUGCCUGUUAUUUAAGAUAUGGUACUCCUUCUAACAAGUUUUGGCCACCAUACUCUUAGGAUCUUUGUCAGGCACGUCAAAUGGAAUCUAUCCAGCCUCUUCUCUUUCCUUAUUGUUAUUUUCCAGUCUUCACAUCCGUACAAAAGUACUGGCUACACAGUUUAAUUCUCCUGUUCCAACCAAUACUCUGUGUUUUCCAGAUGUGAGUCAGGUUGAAAAAAAACAUGUGCCUUGUUUAGAUGUUUCUUGAUCUCAUCCAUGCCUCCGCCAUCCUUGGUCACAGUCGCACCUAGUUACACAAACUCUUUCAUGUCUUCCACUUUCCUCAUUUUCAAUCUUCUACCUUCUCUCUGUUCAUUCACUCUCAUCACUUUCCAGUUUCCACCAUUCAGCUUCAGUCCCACUCUUCCUGCAUAUUCUACCAGCCAGUCUUGCUCUGUACUUUAAUGAAGCAAAGACUAUACUGUCAGAAAAAUCAAAAUCUUUAAGAGUUGUUUUGAGUCAUUUCUUUGGGCUUCGGUUGUUCUUGAAAUCAUGUAGUCAACCUCAAGCAACAACAGGGACCCUGACAUGAAUGCAACCUUUUCAAACACCAGUGGUGAUCUUGAGCCAUCUUGUCUGUUCUCCUUCAACAAGUACUGUGCACUCUAAGUCAUUGUGCCUGAUCUUUACCAUUCUUAUAAAAGAUGCCACUGGCGUUCAUGAUUCUCCAUGGCCCUUGGCAGUGCAUUGACAAAAUUCAUCGACCUGCUCCAUGAUUUUGUGGAGGAUAAAUGUUUGUUUGACUGUGCUUUCAAAAACCAGUUCGUUUCUUUUCAAGGGCACUAUCUACUCAGUGUUGGAUCCUCUUAAUGACUACCACCGUUACUUUCCUAUCUGCAGUUAGCUGCAUUACACCUGCCAGUUUUUACACUCCUUCAGAUCUUUUUGAAGUGGCUUAAGUAUCCAUCCUUUCUUCCAUUUGUCUGGUACCUGCUCAUGUCAUAUCUUGUUAAAUAAUCUUGUCAGUUCUUUUACUACCACACUGCUAUCUGUUUUCUACAACCCAGUUGUGAUCUCAUCAAUUUCUCGUCAUCUAAUCCUCUGUCCCAUGGGAGAAUAGGGCAUCCAUUAUUGUCUUCCAUUUAUGUGGGUCUUGUGCCAACCUUUUGGCCUUUCACUUACAGCUCCCAACUCAUCAUGAGGUGCCCAUCAAUUUCUGGGUGCCUUUCCACUAUUUUUCUUCAGCACUGGCCUCACCUCUGCUUCUCUUAAAUGGGUCGCGCUCAUCUUGCCAAUUUUAUCUGUCUCCACCUUGUGCUCUUCAAUUGGGUCGUCACACCCUCUGUAACAAAUACCUCCACAUUGUUGAUUCAGCCCUAUUAGAGUCAGGCAUCUUUUUGUUUACUUACCCCACCAUUCUCCUUUUUGAUUACUGCAACUUGUCAUUUCUUCUUCUCUGAGAUUUUCCUCACUGCCUUGCACUAUUCUCCAGAACUCCCUUCCAAGCUGUUGUUUCUGCUUAACUCCCUGGCUGUUCUCGCAAUCAAGACUCUCUUGUCCUCUCUUGCUCUGCUCACAAACUCUUCCUCAUGUAUACUUUGCUACACUCUGAAGAUCAUGCCAUCUUGUUUCGCUAGACUAAUGGUGUCCUUCGUUCGUACAAAGCUGACCUAAACAUCGCUUAUGACUUGAUCUUGCUUUGACUACCAUGAACUGGAUUGAAGGCUGCUGACUGUUAAGAUCUUGUAGAGGCUUUCAUCACUGCAUUCAUGGAAAUCUAGUUGGAAUAUAAUUUGGCUUGACCAAUCAUUUCUUCCUUCAACACAACAUGAAACAACAAGUACAUGAAAAAAACAUGUCUCAGAAUGGAGAGAUCAGACCCGUCGUAAUUGCUCUUUCAGUUUACCAUUUUGUUGACAGAGUUGAUUACCAUCUCUAAGAGAUUGAGCAAAAGUCCACUAGGGCACACUAGUGUAAUUGAAGUAGGUUGUACUGAAGCCUCAGUCAAUCUUGAGUUUUGAUGUACACAACGUUGACCAGUUACACCUUGCAAUAUUGAAUGAAAAACCUUGCCGCCUGUGAUUCUGGUCAUUGCAGCCUCACCAAGGCAUCCUGUUUAGCUGUUUUCAAGUUAUAACAAACUGUUGUAGAUCUCCAAAUAGUUAAGGACAUGCUCAACCAUACAGUGCAUUGAGGACAAUUACUCACUUUUCUAAACAGGGCUAUUUCACUUGGUAUCUCCAGACUAAUGUUUAGAAUCACUUUUUAAGGUCAAAGUCACAAGCAGUUGGGGUUGGGGAUGUAAGCUUGGACUUCUGGAGAAGAUU
Molecule: long non-coding RNA, 6374 nt
Organism: Orbicella faveolata
Lineage: Eukaryota; Metazoa; Cnidaria; Anthozoa; Scleractinia; Merulinidae
Source: RefSeq, a predicted model, not a curated record